Molecule: ribosomal RNA, 809 nt
Filed under: uncultured bacterium
Lineage: Bacteria
Description: bacterial SSU rRNA
Rfam family: Bacterial small subunit ribosomal RNA
Source: RNAcentral
UGACUGAGUGGCGGACGGGUGAGUAACGCGUGGGUAACCUGCCUCAUACAGGGGGAUAACAGUUAGAAAUGACUGCUAAUACCGCAUAAGACCACAGCACCGCAUGGUGCAGGGGUAAAAACUCCGGUGGUAUGAGAUGGACCCGCGUCUGAUUAGGUAGUUGGUGGGGUAACGGCCUACCAAGCCGACGAUCAGUAGCCGACCUGAGAGGGUGACCGGCCACAUUGGGACUGAGACACGGCCCAAACUCCUACGGGAGGCAGCAGUGGGGAAUAUUGCACAAUGGGGGAAACCCUGAUGCAGCGACGCCGCGUGAGCGAUGAAGUAUUUCGGUAUGUAAAGCUCUAUCAGCAGGGAAGAAAAUGACGGUACCUGACUAAGAAGCACCGGCUAAAUACGUGCCAGCAGCCGCGGUAAUACGUAUGGUGCAAGCGUUAUCCGGAUUUACUGGGUGUAAAGGGAGCGUAGACGGAGUGGCAAGUCUGAUGUGAAAACCCGGGGCUCAACCCCGGGACUGCAUUGGAAACUGUCAAUCUAGAGUACCGGAGAGGUAAGCGGAAUUCCUAGUGUAGCGGUGAAAUGCGUAGAUAUUAGGAGGAACACCAGUGGCGAAGGCGGCUUACUGGACGGUAACUGACGUUGAGGCUCGAAAGCGUGGGGAGCAAACAGGAUUAGAUACCCUGGUAGUCCACGCCGUAAACGAUGACUACUAGGUGUCGGGCAGCAAAGCUGUUCGGUGCCGCAGCAAACGCAAUAAGUUAGUCCACCUGGGGGAGUACGUUUCGCAAGAAUGAAACUCAAAGGAAUUG